GCCGACGUGGUAGACCAAGUCUAUCUAAGUUCCAUCGAUGGCAUGUUAUGUCUAUAAUGUACGGUCAAUUAUUGGUUGGAUCUAAUCGAAAGAUCAUAAAUUAUUUAAUUCUUUUUUUUCUUUAUUUUUCCUCCUCAACAUACGCCUUAUCAUCAUGUAUUUAAUAUCUUCUCCUCCUUUAGCAACACGCGUCACGGUG
RNAcentral lists this long non-coding RNA (199 nucleotides) under Elaeis guineensis (African oil palm). RNAcentral describes it as "long non-coding RNA (EGUI_LNC011207)". Lineage: Eukaryota; Viridiplantae; Streptophyta; Magnoliopsida; Arecales; Arecaceae. The record is from RNAcentral.